RNAcentral lists this ribosomal RNA (491 nucleotides) under uncultured bacterium. Its description in RNAcentral is "bacterial SSU rRNA". It matches the Rfam family "Bacterial small subunit ribosomal RNA", at positions 791 to 1284 of the family's 1533-position model. The record is from RNAcentral.
UAGUCCACGCCGUAAACGAUGAUAACUAGCUGUCCGGGCUCAUAGAGCUUGGGUGGCGCAGCUAACGCAUUAAGUUAUCCGCCUGGGGAGUACGGUCGCAAGAUUAAAACUCAAAGGAAUUGACGGGGGCCUGCACAAGCGGUGGAGCAUGUGGUUUAAUUCGAAGCAACGCGCAGAACCUUACCAGCCUUUGACAUCCUUCGACGGUUACCAGAGAUGGUUUCCUCCCUUCGGGGCGAAGUGACAGGUGCUGCAUGGCUGUCGCCAGCUCGUGUCGUGAGAUGUUGGGUUAAGUCCCGCAACGAGCGCAACCCUCAUCCCUAGUUGCCAUCAUUUAGUUGGGCACUUUAGGGAAACUGCCGGUGAUAAGCCGGAGGAAGGUGGGGAUGACGUCAAGUCCUCAUGGCCCUUACAGGCUGGGCUACACACGUGCUACAAUGGCAUCUACAGUGGGCAGCUAUCACGCGAGUGUGAGCUAAUCUCCAAAAGAU